Molecule: ribosomal RNA, 301 nt
Filed under: uncultured bacterium
Lineage: Bacteria
Description: partial 16S ribosomal RNA
Rfam family: Bacterial small subunit ribosomal RNA
Source: RNAcentral
CAGUAGCCGCGGGAAUACGUAGGUGGCAAGCGUUGUCCGGAAUUAUUGGGCGUAAAGGGCUCGCAGGCGGUUUCUUAAGUCUGAUGUGAAGGCCCCCGGCUCAACCGGGGAGGGUCAUUGGAAACUGGGAAACUUGAGUGCAGAAGAGGAGAGUGGAAUUCCACGUGUAGCGGUGAAAUGCGUAGAGAUGUGGAGGAACACCAGUGGCGAAGGCGACUCUCUGGUCUGUAACUGACGCUGAGGAGCGAAAGCGUGGGGAGCGAACAGGAUUAGAUACCCCGGUAGUCCCUGUCUCUUAUAC